CCCAGUGAUGAGUUUGAAAGUCUUGCUUGGGGCCAUAUGGCAUGGAUAUGCCAGAAGGAAAUUAUAUACUGCUCUGUUUCUACUCAACUGCUUUUCGUUGUAAAACUGAGGCUUGGUGAGAGGAAGUUGCAGCCCAAAGCCCUAGCAGGUAAAUUGGGCCCUGACUGCUGUCUGUUUUCUAGCUCUGGAUGUGUGUUCUCUGCAGCGGAUGCCUCCCUGGACAAGGUGUUAAAAUUACAACAAACUGAAUUUUGCAGCACUUAAUAGACUUUGUUUAUAAUUUUAGAAUUGUGCAAUAAAUUGGACCAAAAUGGUUCAGAACAUUCA
This is a long non-coding RNA of Heterocephalus glaber (naked mole-rat), 327 nucleotides long. RefSeq lists it as uncharacterized. Lineage: Eukaryota; Metazoa; Chordata; Mammalia; Rodentia; Bathyergidae. The record is from RefSeq and is a predicted model, not a curated record.